AAAGUUUCACUUUUUCCAUAGAAAUCUGCCAUUCCCAAAGCUCUUUGGGAUUUGGGAUUUGGUGUGGUUCAGCAGCAACAUCGCAGAGAGUAAGAUCAAUCUUUUGCUCUUCAAUGUUGCACUCUACAGCUUCGUUUUCCAUUUACACUGAUGAUGAAAAUCAAGAACAAAUCAUGGGGUUAGAAGCGUUUGAGAAGGGUGUUAUGAUUGAAGUGAACAAAGAAGAAGUUCUGGGUAGUACUGGUCAUGAUUUCAGUUUUUCUGAAAGGGCUAUGGGGUUGAUUCAAGAGGAAGAAAUGGAAGAUGAAGAUGGUCUAAACCGGGGUUUUGACGACAGUGAGGUUAACCUUAGACCCGCGAGUCCUCCGCUCUAUUUAGCGGCGGGUCUU
RNAcentral lists this long non-coding RNA (389 nucleotides) under Cucumis sativus (cucumber). Its description in RNAcentral is "long non-coding RNA (CSAT_LNC000935)". Lineage: Eukaryota; Viridiplantae; Streptophyta; Magnoliopsida; Cucurbitales; Cucurbitaceae. The record is from RNAcentral.